Long non-coding RNA from Patiria miniata (bat star), 1056 nucleotides. RefSeq lists it as uncharacterized. The transcript has 2 exons. Lineage: Eukaryota; Metazoa; Echinodermata; Asteroidea; Valvatida; Asterinidae. The record is from RefSeq and is a predicted model, not a curated record.
UCAGUUACAAUACCUGUAUUUUAUUACCUUCAUUUUGAAAAAAAAACAAUGUACAAAAAUAUGGAUAGCAAUUCAGCUGGAUUUAUUUUUCAGAUGCAGCAAUAUUACAAAGGACUAGCAUAAUGUUCUUUUGCUUUAUCUCUUUUGAUUAUUUGUGGUUGCUCAACUAUAACAGAAGUAUCAAAUUUCCCCUUAUACUCGAAAAGACAAGAAAGACUUUAUGUUGUCGUCUUUUGCGGGGGUAUAACUGGGGUUCAAUUUGAAGGGGGGUGGGGGUGGCCUGUUAUUUAGGAACCUCAUUAUCACUCAGUGGGGUUUUGACAAACAAACAAACAAUACCUUUUUGGGGGCUUCUCUGAUGUGAUUACCUUAACCCCCAACUUUAGCAUCAAAAGAUAGUUUAGACGAUCCCCAUUUACUGUUGAGAUUGUCUCAACGAGAGUUGGGACCAAUGCUAUACAUGUAUAUGAAACAGGGACACAGGGAAUAUCAUAGGCUUUGAAUUGAGGGUCAUGUGCAUAAAAGCAAUUAGCAGAUAUUGGAUAAUGGCCAAAGGAUAAUGGAUAAAGAAUAUUUAUCCUUUCGGUCAAAAGUCAAAACAAGUCAAACUUUCACAAAAUUUCAACAAUUUCACUUUGUGUUUUGUAAAACACCCCUCUGGCCAGUGGCCAAGUCUAUGGCAUGUGUCUCAUAGUGCUAAAAGUGUGCCCAUAGUGCUAAAAAUCUCCUUAAAUGGAAAUUGGCAUGCAUGCGGGGCGGGUACUGUGCGAUGCAGCGCAAAACUCAGUGGUGCAAAAAGAAAGUGUUUAAAACCAGCUGGUGCUUUAUCAGCAGUUUAAAACCAGCCAGGAGAUGGACUCUCAGUCAAUAGGAAUGGGUAAACUGUCUUAGGUCAGUCGGGGCACAGGAAUUUAAAUCUUCUUGAUAGAUCAGGGUCAGUGGAAGAGUAUUGUGCAAGGAGCAGAAAGCAGUUAUGGCUAGAAACCCUGCUGAAUGCAGCAUCAUGCAGCACUUGCCAAAAUGACAAGCCUGUCCAAUGUAGCAAGAUCCCUGAAG